UAAUAGUGUAUAUUAAAGUUGUUGCAGUUAAAAAGCUCGUAGUUGAAUGUUGGUGUCGAACGAGCGGUCAGCUUCGGCUGUACUGCUCUCUCGACUCCUUCCUUCUGUGGACUACGUCGCACUUUACUGUGUGGCGCUAGGACGCAGAUCGUUUACUGUGAAAAAAUUAGAGUGUUCAAAGCAGGCCGUACGCUUGAAUACAUUAGCAUGGAAUAAUGGAAUAGGACGUCGGGCCUAUUUUGUUGGUUCUAGGACCGUCGUAAUGAUUAAUAGGGACAGUUGGGGCCGUUUAUAUUCCGUAGUCGGAGGUGAAAUUCUUGGAUUUACGGAAGAUAAACUACUGCGAAAGCAUUCGGCAAGGAUGUUUUCGUUAA
RNAcentral lists this ribosomal RNA (374 nucleotides) under uncultured eukaryote. Its description in RNAcentral is "partial 18S ribosomal RNA". It matches the Rfam family "Eukaryotic small subunit ribosomal RNA", at positions 592 to 976 of the family's 1831-position model. The record is from RNAcentral.